This 380-nucleotide long non-coding RNA is filed under the name Carica papaya (papaya). RNAcentral describes it as "long non-coding RNA (CPAP_LNC011223)". The record is from RNAcentral. Lineage: Eukaryota; Viridiplantae; Streptophyta; Magnoliopsida; Brassicales; Caricaceae.
ACCUCGUUCGGUAUAAGGGUGAAGUGGGUCGUCUCCAUACCCCAUCUGGUCUGGACACCAAGUGACCAAGUCUCCAUACCUCGUCUGGUAUGAGACAACGUUCACGGUAGGGUUCCCUAUGAACCGGUCCAUCCACCAUCUUCCAGAAUAUCUAGUGAGGUUGUCAUCUUAUCCAUUUAUCAAAUCCCAUCCCAUUCCUAUUUGUCCUUAGUCUCCGUUACCAACUCAGACAUGAAUACAUACACAAGUAACGUGCAUCGAACAAAGCAAGCAUAUCUUAGAUUUCCAAAAUCAAACAGUAGUGAAGUAAGCAGUGAUACAUGUAUUUAAAAUCAUAGAAUAAAUAAAUAAGAUACCAUAAUGCAUUUAAACUUUAAAAU